This 460-nucleotide ribosomal RNA is filed under the name uncultured bacterium. RNAcentral's name for it is "partial 16S ribosomal RNA". It matches the Rfam family "Bacterial small subunit ribosomal RNA", at positions 338 to 795 of the family's 1533-position model. The record is from RNAcentral.
CCUACGGGUGGCUGCAGUGAGGAAUAUUGGUCAAUGGUCGCGAGACUGAACCAGCCAAGCCGCGUGAGGGAUGAAGGUACAGAGUAUCGUAAACCUCUUUUGUCAGGGAACAAAGGCCGGGACGUGUCCCCGGAUGAGUGUACCGUAAGAAAAAGCAUCGGCUAACUCCGUGCCAGCAGCCGCGGUAAUACGGAGGAUGCGAGCGUUAUCCGGAUUUAUUGGGUUUAAAGGGUGCGCAGGCGGUCUGUUAAGUUAGCGGUGAAAGCUCGGGGCUCAACCCCGGACCGGCCUUUGAAACUGGCAGUCUCGAGUUGGAGAGAGGUAGGCGGAAUGCGCGGUGUAGCGGUGAAAUGCAUAGAUAUCGCGCAGAACUCCGAUUGCGAAGGCAGCAUGCCGGCUCCACACUGACGCUGAGGCACGAAAGCGUGGGUAUCGAACAGGAUUAGAUACCCGUGUAGUC